Non-coding RNA from Massospora cicadina, 82 nucleotides. Lineage: Eukaryota; Fungi; Entomophthoromycota; Entomophthoromycetes; Entomophthorales; Entomophthoraceae. The record is from the annotation of a GenBank genome assembly.
AAAAAUUUUGCUGAGCGGUUAAGGCGUGAGCCUAGAAAUCUCAUAAGGUUUCCCUGCGCAGGUUCAAGUCCUGCAGGUGUCA